CUGCGGAUGAAACCAGAAGCUUCCUGCAACGCUUUGAUGCCCGCUUUAACCGCGUCUUCAUCUUUGUCGUUGAGGAACGUCACAUAUACUUUGGCAUACGCCAGGUCGCGAGACAUUUCGACACCGGAAAAGGUGGUCAUCAUGCCCAGACGAGGAUCUUUAAUUUCACGCUGCAGGAUGAGAGCGAUCUCCAUCCACGGAAGUUUUCAGAGAUGAGAAUGUGCCUUCGGGAACCGUGAGACAGGUGCUGCAUGGCUGUCGUCAGCUCGUGUUGUGAAAUGUUGGGUUAAGUCCCGCAACGAGCGCAACCCUUAUCCUUUGWUGCCAGCGGUCCGGCCGGGAACUCAAAGGAGACUGCCAGUGAUAAACUGGAGGAAGGUGGGGAUGACGUCAAGUCAUCAUGGCCCUUACGACCAGGGCUACACACGUGCUACAAUGGCGCAUACAAAGAGAAGCGACCUCGCGAGAGCAAGCGAACCUCAUAAAGUGCGUCGUAGUCCGGAUUGGAGUCUGCAACUCGACUCCAUGAAGUCGGAAUCGCUAGUAAUCGUGGAUCAGAAUGCCACGGUGAAUACGUUCCCGGGCCUUGUACACACCGCCCGUCACACCAUGGGAGUGGGUUGCAAAAGAAGUAGGUAGCUUAACCUUCGGGAGGGCGCUUACCACUUUGUGAUUCAUGACUGGGGUGAAGUCGUAACAAGGUAACCGUAGGGGAACCUGCGGUUG
RNAcentral lists this ribosomal RNA (726 nucleotides) under Escherichia coli. RNAcentral's name for it is "bacterial SSU rRNA". The record is from RNAcentral. Lineage: Bacteria; Pseudomonadati; Pseudomonadota; Gammaproteobacteria; Enterobacterales; Enterobacteriaceae.